Molecule: ribosomal RNA, 630 nt
Filed under: Lactiplantibacillus plantarum
Lineage: Bacteria; Bacillati; Bacillota; Bacilli; Lactobacillales; Lactobacillaceae
Description: bacterial SSU rRNA
Rfam family: Bacterial small subunit ribosomal RNA
Source: RNAcentral
UGCAGUCGAACGAACUCUGGUAUUGAUUGGUGCUUGCAUCAUGAUUUACAUUUGAGUGAGUGGCGAACUGGUGAGUAACACGUGGGAAACCUGCCCAGAAGCGGGGGAUAACACCUGGAAACAGAUGCUAAUACCGCAUAACAACUUGGACCGCAUGGUCCGAGUUUGAAAGAUGGCUUCGGCUAUCACUUUUGGAUGGUCCCGCGGCGUAUUAGCUAGAUGGUGGGGUAACGGCUCACCAUGGCAAUGAUACGUAGCCGACCUGAGAGGGUAAUCGGCCACAUUGGGACUGAGACACGGCCCAAACUCCUACGGGAGGCAGCAGUAGGGAAUCUUCCACAAUGGACGAAAGUCUGAUGGAGCAACGCCGCGUGAGUGAAGAAGGGUUUCGGCUCGUAAAACUCUGUUGUUAAAGAAGAACAUAUCUGAGAGUAACUGUUCAGGUAUUGACGGUAUUUAACCAGAAAGCCACGGCUAACUACGUGCCAGCAGCCGCGGUAAUACGUAGGUGGCAAGCGUUGUCCGGAUUUAUUGGGCGUAAAGCGAGCGCAGGCGGUUUUUUAAGUCUGAUGUGAAAGCCUUCGGCUCAACCGAAGAAGUGCAUCGGAAACUGGGAAACUUGAGUGCAGA